Molecule: ribosomal RNA, 1078 nt
Filed under: Erwinia tracheiphila
Lineage: Bacteria; Pseudomonadati; Pseudomonadota; Gammaproteobacteria; Enterobacterales; Erwiniaceae
Description: bacterial SSU rRNA
Rfam family: Bacterial small subunit ribosomal RNA
Source: RNAcentral
ACACAUGCAAGUCGGACGGUAGCACAGAAGAGCGUGCUCUUUGGGUGACGAGUGGCGGACGGGUGAGUAAUGUCUGGGAAACUGCCUGAUGGCGGGGGAUAACCACUGGAAACGGUGGCUAAUACCGCAUAAUCUCGCAAGAGCAAAGAGGGGGACCUUAUGGCCUCUUGCCAUCGGAUGUGCCCAGAUGGGAUUAGCUGGCAGGUAGGGUAACGGCCUACCUGGGCGACGAUCCCUAGCUGGUCUGAGAGGAUGACCAGCCACACUGGAACUGAGACACGGUCCAGACUCCUACGGGAGGCAGCAGUGGGGAAUAUUGCACAAUGGGCGCAAGCCUGAUGCAGCCAUGCCGCGUGUAUGAAGAAGGCCUUCGGGUUGUAAAGUACUUUCAGCGGGGAGAAGGGACGCUGGUUAAUAACCAGCGUCAUUGACGUUACCCGCAGAAGAAGCACCGGCUAACUCCGUGCCAGCAGCCGCGGUAAUACGGAGGGUGCAAGCGUUAAUCGGAAUUACUGGGCGUAAAGCGCACGCAGGCGGUCUGUUAAGUCAGAUGUGAAAUCCCCGGGCUUAACCUGGGAAUGCAUUUGAAACUGGCAGGCUGGAGUCUUGUAGAGGGGGGUGGAAUUCCAGGUGUAGCGGUGAAAUGCGUAGAGAUCUGGAGGAAUACCGGUGGCGAAGGCGGCCCCCUGGACAAAGACUGACGCUCAUGUGCGAAAGCGUGGGGAGCAAACAGGAUUAGAUACCCUGGUAGUCCACGCUGUAAACGAUGUCGAUUUGGAGGUUGUGCCCUUGAGGUGUGGCUUCCGUAGCUAACGCGUUAAAUCGACCGCCUGGGGAGUACGGCCGCAAGGUUAAAACUCAUGAAUUGACGGGGGCCCGCACAAGCGGUGGAGCAUGUGGUUUAAUUCGAUGCAACGCGAAGAACCUUACCUGGCCUUGACAUCCACAGAACUUAGCAGAGAUGCUUUGGUGCCUUCGGGAGCUGUGAGACAGGUGCUGCAUGGCUGUCGUCAGCUCGUGUUGUGAAAUGUUGGGUUAAGUCCCGCAACGAGCGCAACCCUUAUCCUUUGUUGCCAGC